Molecule: ribosomal RNA, 253 nt
Filed under: uncultured bacterium
Lineage: Bacteria
Description: partial 16S ribosomal RNA
Rfam family: Bacterial small subunit ribosomal RNA
Source: RNAcentral
UACGAAGGGGGCUAGCGUUGCUCGGAAUGACUGGGCGUAAAGGGCGCGUAGGCGGCCUCUUAAGUCGAACGUGAAAUCCCCGGGCUCAACCCGGGAACUGCGUCCGAUACUGGGGGGCUUGAAUCCGGGAGAGGGAUGUGGAAUUCCAGGUGUAGCGGUGAAAUGCGUAGAUAUCUGGAGGAACACCGGUGGCGAAGGCGGCAUCCUGGACCGGUAUUGACGCUGAGGCGCGAAAGCCAGGGGAGCAAACGGG